UCAACCAAUCCUUCAAUAGGUCACCAGC
This 28-nucleotide non-coding RNA is filed under the name Bombyx mori (domestic silkworm). The record is from RNAcentral. Lineage: Eukaryota; Metazoa; Arthropoda; Insecta; Lepidoptera; Bombycidae.